Long non-coding RNA from Phlebotomus papatasi, 230 nucleotides. RefSeq lists it as uncharacterized. The record is from RefSeq and is a predicted model, not a curated record. The transcript has 3 exons. Lineage: Eukaryota; Metazoa; Arthropoda; Insecta; Diptera; Psychodidae.
AGAGAAUGCGAUGAUGAUGGACUUUAACUCUGAAAAAUCAAACGUCGUCGGUGAUAGUGCAUCUUUUACAAACAAUUUUGCUCGGAUUUUCUUGUCACUAAGCUCUUGUACAUCAUAGUUCAAAGAUAAGGCCAAUAAGCGGCUAUUGAAGAAAAUGUAUGAUCCCCUUACAACAAAAGGCUCACAAGAUUGUAUCCUGUUUCUCUUGCUGAAGGCUUUGAUUCUCCGAG